UGCCAGCCGCCGCGGUAAUACUGAAGGUGCAAGCGUUAAUCGGAAUCACUGGGCGUAAAGCGCUCGUAGGUGGCUUUGUAAGUCGGAUGUGAAAGCCCAUGGCUCAACCGUGGAAGUGCAUCCGAAACUGCAUAGCUAGAGUCCUGGAGAGGAAGGUGGAAUGCUUGGUGUAGAGGUGAAAUUCGUAGAUAUCAAGCGGAACACCGGUGGCGAAGGCGACCUUCUGGACAGUGACUGACGCUGAGACGCGAAAGCGUGGGGAGCAAACAGGAUUAGAUA
This 279-nucleotide ribosomal RNA is filed under the name uncultured bacterium. Its description in RNAcentral is "partial 16S ribosomal RNA". It matches the Rfam family "Bacterial small subunit ribosomal RNA", at positions 506 to 784 of the family's 1533-position model. The record is from RNAcentral.